RNAcentral lists this microRNA precursor (87 nucleotides) under Anopheles farauti. Its description in RNAcentral is "microRNA mir-12". It matches the Rfam family "mir-12 microRNA precursor family". The record is from RNAcentral. Lineage: Eukaryota; Metazoa; Arthropoda; Insecta; Diptera; Culicidae.
CCGGGGUGAGUAUUACAUCAGGUACUGGUGUGAUUUAAAACCCGGACAUCCGGUAGACUAUCAGUACUUGUGUUAUACUCUCCCCGU